GACAAAUGCCCUGCUUCCAGGAAAAGCCUCUAAGCAUCAGGUAACAUCAAAUCGUACCCAAAACCGACACAGGUGGUCAGGUAGAGAAUACCAAGGCGCUUGAGAGAACUCGGGUGAAGGAACUAGGCAAAAUGGUGCCGUAACUUCGGGAGAAGGCACGCUGAUAUGUAGGUGAAGCGACUUGCUCGUGGAGCUGAAAUCAGUCGAAGAUACCAGCUGGCUGCAACUGUUUAUUAAAAACACAGCACUGUGCAAACACGAAAGUGGACGUAUACGGUGUGACGCCUGCCCGGUGCCGGAAGGUUAAUUGAUGGGGUUAGCGGUAACGCGAAGCUCUUGAUCGAAGCCCCGGUAAACGGCGGCCGUAACUAUAACGGUCCUAAGGUAGCGAAAUUCCUUGUCGGGUAAGUUCCGACCUGCACGAAUGGCGUAAUGAUGGCCAGGCUGUCUCCACCCGAGACUCAGUGAAAUUGAACUCGCUGUGAAGAUGCAGUGUACCCGCGGCAAGACGGAAAGACCCCGUGAACCUUUACUAUAGCUUGACACUGAACAUUGAGCCUUGAUGUGUAGGAUAGGUGGGAGGCUUUGAAGUGUGGACGCCAGUCUGCAUGGAGCCGACCUUGAAAUACCACCCUUUAAUGUUUGAUGUUCUAACGUUGGCCCGUAAUCCGGGUUGCGGACAGUGUCUGGUGGGUAGUUUGACUGGGGCGGUCUCCUCCUAAAGAGUAACGGAGGAGCACGAAGGUUGGCUAAUCCUGGUCGGACAUCAGGAGGUUAGUGCAAUGGCAUAAGCCAGCUUGACUGCGAGCGUGACGGCGCGAGCAGGUGCGAAAGCAGGUCAUAGUGAUCCGGUGGUUCUGAAUGGAAGGGCCAUCGCUCAACGGAUAAAAGGUACUCCGGGGAUAACAGGCUGAUACCGCCCAAGAGUUCAUAUCGACGGCGGUGUUUGGCACCUCGAUGUCGGCUCAUCACAUCCUGGGGCUGAAGUAGGUCCCAAGGGUAUGGCUGUUCGCCAUUUAAAGUGGUACGCGAGCUGGGUUUAGAACGUCGUGAGACAGUUCGGUCCCUAUCUGCCGUGGGCGCUGGAGAACUGAGGGGGGCUGCUCCUAGUACGAGAGGACCGGAGUGGACGCAUCACUGGUGUUCGGGUUGUCAUGCCAAUGGCACUGCCCGGUAGCUAAAUGCGGAAGAGAUAAGUGCUGAAAGCAUCUAAGCACGAAACUUGCCCCGAGAUGAGUUCUCCCUGACUCCUUGAGAGUCCUGAAGGAACGUUGAAGACGACGACGUUGAUAGGCCGGGUGUGUAAGCGCAGCGAUGCGUUGAGCUAACCGGUACUAAUGAACCGUGAGGCUUAACCUUACAACGCCGAAG
This 1371-nucleotide ribosomal RNA is filed under the name Escherichia coli. RNAcentral's name for it is "partial 23S ribosomal RNA". It matches the Rfam family "Bacterial large subunit ribosomal RNA", at positions 1592 to 2925 of the family's 2925-position model. The record is from RNAcentral. Lineage: Bacteria; Pseudomonadati; Pseudomonadota; Gammaproteobacteria; Enterobacterales; Enterobacteriaceae.